AGUGCGACCCAGUGCAGCUCUGUGCCUGAGCCAAGAUUUGGAAAAAGGAUUGGAAAUGAUUUUGCAGUUGGCUCAGUGGUUCUAUUUGAAUGCAAUCCAGGAUAUACACUAAACGGAUCUACUGCAAUUAGAUGUGAUACCGUUCCCAAUGCUCUGGCUCAGUGGAAUGACUCGCUGCCUACUUGUGAUGUGCCCUGUGGUGGAAUUUUAACUAAGCGCAGAGGAACCAUUCUAUCACCGGGUUACCCUGAGCCAUAUGACAACAAUUUGAAUUGUAUAUGGAAGAUCACAGUGCCAGAGGGAGCUGGCAUUCAAAUUCAAAUUAUAAGUUUUGCUACAGAGCAUAAUUGGGAUUCAUUAGAUUUCUAUGAUGGAGCAGAUAACAAUGCUCCAAGGCUUGGCAGCUAUUCAGGCACAACAAUACCGCAACUUCUGAACAGCACAUCGAAUAACCUGUAUCUGAACUUUCAGUCGGAUAUUAGUGUGUCGGCUGCUGGAUUCCAUCUUGAAUACACAGCGAUAGGUUUAGACUCCUGCCCAGAGCCACAGACACCAAACAGCGCAAUAAAAGUCGAUGAUAGAUAUAUGGUUGGAGACGUGGUGACUUUUCAGUGUGAUC
Molecule: long non-coding RNA, 619 nt
Organism: Polyodon spathula (Mississippi paddlefish)
Lineage: Eukaryota; Metazoa; Chordata; Actinopteri; Acipenseriformes; Polyodontidae
Exons: 5
Source: RefSeq, a predicted model, not a curated record